Molecule: long non-coding RNA, 267 nt
Filed under: Elaeis guineensis (African oil palm)
Lineage: Eukaryota; Viridiplantae; Streptophyta; Magnoliopsida; Arecales; Arecaceae
Description: long non-coding RNA (EGUI_LNC016570)
Source: RNAcentral
GCUACCUUGAAAAAUUUCGACGAGAUCGUCCAACUCAACCUCUCACCGAUCAAUAGCCUCAGCCACAAGCUGAGGAAACAAUCAACAAUCGGCCAACGGUAGAAGUGAUCAACAUAAUUUCUGGGUGACCGAAGAAUUUGGAGACAACUUUCGAAGAAAAGUCGACAAAGAAACGACGACUUGAUAAUGUAAUCUUUUUUUCAGAAGAUGAUGUUCGAAGAAUACAAAUUCCUCAUGAUGAUGCUAUCAUCGUCUCAACGAUGAUAG